Sus scrofa (pig) is the source of this 4141-nucleotide non-coding RNA. The record is from RefSeq and is a predicted model, not a curated record. NCBI's taxonomy places the organism in Eukaryota, Metazoa, Chordata, Mammalia, Artiodactyla, Suidae.
CUUCCGGGUGUAGUUAAAGCAACUCCACCACUGCUGGUUGAGAAUUACAAAGAUGCGAGGUUGGUUUUGCAAAUGUUUUGAAUUUAACAAGAAUUUAAAUACCGUCUGCCUUAGAAUCUUUGAUUUGCUGACUGUUAAUCUGCCUUUCAGCUCUCCGUUUAGGCAGUGGAUGGCAACCUCUGCUGCAAAUUAGAAAUGCCUCAGGUGUUUUCUAAACAAUUUUUGCAGUAGCCUUCACUCCCUGAGAUUCUGAUUUUGGUGGAUCUGGGAUGGGAUGUGGACAAGAGAAUUUUUAAAAGCUCCCUGGUUGAGAAGGCUAAGAAUCACCGAUUUGGGACCACACAGAGGAGAUGCAUCCACAGAAUGUGGCAACUCUACUAAUGAAACUGCUGGUCAAGAUCUCUGGAAAUGGAAGUCUAAUAAUCCUUGUUUUGACAAGAAAGAUCAGGCCUCUACUCACAUAAGACAUGGAGCUGGAUCACAGUGCUUUUGCUCAACCGCUGACCCUGAACCUCUACAGAGGCCUCACAGGAGAAAUUUCGGCCAUCAUCUUCCUCCCUGGUGAUGUUCUUACUUCAAAUCACUGCUCCCAGGAAUAAGUUCAAACAUCCCAGGAGUUCCUGUUGUGCCUCAGCAGUAAUGAACCCAACUAGUAUCCAAGAGGAUUCAGGUUCACUCGCUCAGCGGGUUAAGCAUCCAGCAUUGCUGUGAGUUGUGUAGAUUGCAGAUGCUGCACCUCCGGCAGCUGUACCUCCAAUUCGAUCUCUAGCCUGGGAACUUCCAUAUGCUGCAGUUGUGGCUCUAAAUAAAUAAAUAAAUAAAUAAAAUCCGAAUCACUCUGUAAACAGCAUGGCUUAAGGAAAGAGGGUGAAGCCUGGACAGAACCUACCACCUCAGUGCACCCAGCACCUACCAGAGAAGAUGAAGACUAGUGUUCACUUUGGAGUGUACCUAGCAAAGAGUAGUAUGUGCAUUUGCAGUGGAAUCACCAAGCCUUUAUCAUGGACGUUUUCAAUAGCGGAGAAACCUCGUGAGAAGAGGCAGGUCACUUACUAUAGACAUGCACUGGCUCUCUUGUUUUCUGCUCCACUGGACCCAGAGAUACAAGGCAAGACACCUCCUGAUCACCGGUCUCCGUGGCCCGAACGGUGGCAUUGGCCCAUACUGUGUCUCCCUCCCAGGAGAGGAAGGGGUCCAGCUGCUGGUCGCCCAGGAACAUGUGGACCACCACCUCUUCGGCUGGGAACACCCUAGCCACCUCACAGCUCACAGUCUCUGCCAUCCCAACCUCCAAAAGUGAAGACACCCAGAUUUGGGGGCUCUGAGAGAAUUCUGCCAAGAAAUGAGGAAAAGGAAAGAAAGGGGGAAACCAUGAUAAAUCACGUGUUACAGGGACCCCACAAGGUAGGGAGUAGGGCUAAAAGCUCUCUGUCCCCACAGUGAGUUUAAAACUCAAGAAAAGGCGGAGCUCAAUUAUCUUUAUGCCCCAUCCUAAAUCCUAGGGGAGGUGAGUCCCAAAGGCCAAGGUAACAUGAGGAAAAUGAACCCCAAGAUUCCUUCCACACCUGGGCUCUGACUCACCAAAGAUUCGGAGUACCUUGAUUGCUGAGCUAUUGCGAAAAAGCCCUCCACCACGUGAACUCAGGUCCAGCUCGGCGCGGCAGGAGAAAUUGCACCUGUCAUCCUCCAUUUGGGCUUUGACAUUGAUGGUGAUCUCAGCUCUUUGAGAGGCCGCAGAUAAGCUCCUAAAGUUCUUUUUAUGUAGUUCUUGGUCAUUCUGGAGAAGUGUAAGGGUGAGGCCCUCCAGAGGUGUGACACUGGGCACAUGGCAUGUCACUAUAAAGGCUUCAUCCACGGCCACCCAUGCAGGCUGCAGCUCCAUGAUUACCUGCUCUGGUGGCUCUUUAAGACAAAAAGGUGGGCUUGAUGGGAGACAGCUACUUAGCUCUCCAGAAAGAAAUGGUAUAGAACGGGAAGCCUGUGAUAGAAGGUGACCCCUACUCUUAAACCUAAUCUGAUGCACAGUGUCAGCUUUCUGCUGCCCCUGUUCUAGAUGGGACAAGUUAGCCUUCUGGCUCUUCUACCUACUGAAGGUGGCUAAAGCCACAGCCAAGAAAUGUGACUGCUGAGGGGAGGUCCCUUGCUUUGACUGCUGCUGCCAUUCUGAAGAGCUUUGCUCUCAUGCCAGAGGGCUUCAGAGGCAUAAGCAGCAUCACUAAGCUAACUAAGCUCUCACCCCACAGAGCUCACACUUACUCUUACAGCUGUAUCUUUGCCAACACCAUUUGCACACCUGAAAGAUGCUCCUCACCCGUUCCCAUCCCUUCAAAUCCUAACCAUUUGCAGGAGUGAAGCUCAAGAGGCUCCUUUGCGUGGAGACCUCUCCGACUAUCCCAGCUGACAAAGACCCUCCUUUCUCUAAUCCCUAUUUAUUCUAAGAAUUUGUGACGGGAAUUCCCAUCGUGGCACAGCAGAGACGAUUCCGACUAGGAACCAUGAGGUUGCGGGUUCGAUCCCUGGCCUUGCUAAGUGGGUUAAGGAUCUGGUGUCGCCGUGAUGUGGUGUAGGUCACAGACUUGGUUCAGAUCUGGCAUGGCAGCUAUAGCUCCGAUUAGACCCCUAGCCUAGGAACCUCCAUGUACUGAGGGUGCAGCCUUAAAAAGCAAAACAAAAACAAACAAACAUAACAAGAAUUCGUGACACUAAUUUUGUACUGAUUUUGUACUAAUUUUGUACUAAUUUUGCACUAAUUUUGAAUUUUUUAGAAUUCGGCACUAAUUUUUUACUUUUUUGAUUAUUUAUAAAUGAGCAUUAUUAGCACACUCCUCCUGUAUUUGAACAUAUUUUCAAGCACAGAUGUCUCAUGCACUUUGCGGUCUGCUCCUAACUUAAAAGCCUACACCAAAGGGAGAGAGAAAUAAUUGGCUCUAGAAUCCCUAUAGUAUGACAGAAAUCUUUUUUUUUUUUUUUUUUUUUGCCUUUUUUUUGUCUUUUGUUGUUGUUGCUAUUUCUUGGGCCGCUCCCGCGGCAUAUGGAGAUUCCCAGGCUAGGGGUCCAAUCGGAGCUGCAGCCACCGGCCUAAGCCAGAGCCACAGCAACUCGGGAUCCGAGCCGUGUCUGCAACCUACACCACAGCUCACGGCAACGCCGGAUCGUUAACCCACUGAGCAAGGGCAGGGACCGAACCCGCAACCUCAUGGUUCCUAGUCGGAUUCGUUAACCACUGCGCCACGACGGGAACUCCAGAAAUCUUUUUUAAGAGCUCUACUUCUCUUCCCUACAAGAAAUCUCUUUCUCUUUUUUUUUUUCCUCCCCUUUCUUUCCUUCUUUUUUUAAAGGCCACCCCUGAGGCAUAUGGAAGUUCCCAGGCUAGGGGUUGAACCGGAGUUACAGCUGCCAGCCUACACCACAGCCACGGCAACACAGAUCCAAGCCGCAUCUGCAACCUACACCACAGCUCAUGGCAAUGCCAGAUCCUUAACCCACUCAGUGAGGCCAGGGUCGAACCCACAACCUCUUGGUUCCUAGUUGGAUUCGUUUUUGCUGUGCCACGAGGGGAACUCCUCCCAGAAAUCUCUAAUUAUUCCCUAUAUAAGGCAUAGUCAUGUUCCCCCACUCUUCCCUUCCUCCCCAGCCCUCAGCCCAACUCACGAUACACAGUGAUGCCAAGGCUUAUGUCCUUUUGGAUUCCUGUGCAAGAGAAGAAGCACUGCACGAUGGAAUUCUGUGUGACAUCUUCCAGGAGAAACUCCUUCCACUGAGGCCCUUUGCCCACCUGGGUUCUCUUCAAUAAGGUCUCAAUUCCACCGGGUCCUGGAUCUGGGCAAGUGGUGCUACAGUUGACCAUCAGGGACUGUCCAUACUUUACAAAGGCCUGAUCUGGCCAAACAGAAACCUCAAAUAGCUCUUCUGCGGCCUCUGAAAUGAUCAACCACAGAUGCCGAAACUCUGGUGAGGACCACAAGACCCAAAGAAAUUACAGAGCCUAUUCCAUCUAGUUACAGGUUAGAGAAGAGGAAACCUACUCUGAAUAAAAGGGUACAGGGGACUAAACAAGAAAAAACCCUUAAUAAACAAGUUAGAACCCUAAUUCUACCGCCAUUCCCUCCUCUCAUCAUCUUUCUUGGGAUCUCUGGUUUUC